CAACCCUCGAGCCCCCCCGGGGGCUCGGCGUUGGGGAUCGGCUCCCGCCCCAGGGCGCGCCGCCCCCGAAAUACAGUGGCGGUCUCGCCGCGGCCUCCCCUGCGCAGUAGCUUGCACACUCGCACCGGAGAGCGGCGCGGCCACGCCGUGAAAACCCCCCACCGGCCGGACGGCCCUGAAAUG
Molecule: unclassified non-coding RNA, 183 nt
Filed under: uncultured Trichoderma
Lineage: Eukaryota; Fungi; Ascomycota; Sordariomycetes; Hypocreales; Hypocreaceae
Description: sequence contains ITS2
Source: RNAcentral